AUACGUAGGGUGCGAGCGUUAAUCGGAAUUACUGGGCGUAAAGCGUGCGCAGGCGGUUUCGUAAGACAGAGGUGAAAUCCCCGGGCUCAACCUGGGAACUGCCUUUGUGACUGCGAGGCUAGAGUACGGCAGAGGGGGGUGGAAUUCCACGUGUAGCAGUGAAAUGCGUAGAGAUGUGGAGGAACACCGAUGGCGAAGGCAGCCCCCUGGGCCGAUACUGACGCUCAUGCACGAAAGCGUGGGUAGCAAACAGGAUUAGAAACCCUAGUAGUCC
RNAcentral lists this ribosomal RNA (274 nucleotides) under uncultured bacterium. RNAcentral describes it as "partial 16S ribosomal RNA". It matches the Rfam family "Bacterial small subunit ribosomal RNA", at positions 523 to 796 of the family's 1533-position model. The record is from RNAcentral.